This 544-nucleotide ribosomal RNA is filed under the name Klebsiella pneumoniae. RNAcentral describes it as "bacterial SSU rRNA". It matches the Rfam family "Bacterial small subunit ribosomal RNA", at positions 1 to 536 of the family's 1533-position model. The record is from RNAcentral. Lineage: Bacteria; Pseudomonadati; Pseudomonadota; Gammaproteobacteria; Enterobacterales; Enterobacteriaceae.
AAAUUGAAGAGUUUGAUCAUGGCUCAGAUUGAACGCUGGCGGCAGGCCUAACACAUGCAAGUCGAGCGGUAGCACAGAGAGCUUGCUCUCGGGUGACGAGCGGCGGACGGGUGAGUAAUGUCUGGGAAACUGCCUGAUGGAGGGGGAUAACUACUGGAAACGGUAGCUAAUACCGCAUAAUGUCGCAAGACCAAAGUGGGGGACCUUCGGGCCUCAUGCCAUCAGAUGUGCCCAGAUGGGAUUAGCUAGUAGGUGGGGUAACGGCUCACCUAGGCGACGAUCCCUAGCUGGUCUGAGAGGAUGACCAGCCACACUGGAACUGAGACACGGUCCAGACUCCUACGGGAGGCAGCAGUGGGGAAUAUUGCACAAUGGGCGCAAGCCUGAUGCAGCCAUGCCGCGUGUGUGAAGAAGGCCUUCGGGUUGUAAAGCACUUUCAGCGGGGAGGAAGGCGAUAAGGUUAAUAACCUUGUCGAUUGACGUUACCCGCAGAAGAAGCACCGGCUAACUCCGUGCCAGCAGCCGCGGUAAUACGGAGGGUGCA